GGAGUGUGGACAGAGGCUCCGCUGACAGAGAAGGAGCUGGGGUGAGACACAGAGAGAGACCAGGCUUCAGGGACCCUAGUGGAGUCCAUGGGGUCAACAUCCCUGAUGUCCUUGUCCAUGUGCUCCCUGCCCUGGGGAUCGUGCUGACCCUGAGCCUCACUCUGAUCCUGGAGAAGCAGUGGAGCAGUGGGGACAGUUGAAGACAGUCCCCAGGGAGGAGGCACAGCAGACAUUCCCACAGUCACAGGAGUGAUUAUAGCUGGAUGACUGUUCCCUCCAUGUGGGAAUCUCUCAGCCACAGACAGUGUAUCCAUGUUCCUUGCAUCAGACCCCACAUGCUGCUUCAUACAGUCUUUCAUGUCACAGGUACCCUGUCCCAGCCUCUGCUACUCAGCCACCCCCGUCUCUGUGUCUCCAGGCACUAAAGCCAGAUUCACCUGCACCCUGCGUAACACGAAAAGAGAGGUAGGACACAGGAAGAGGGAGAAGCAGUGUCCCUGCAGGGAGCACGAUGUGGGACUGGAUCCAAGGGCCCAAGGAUCAUGCCCUGAG
Canis lupus familiaris (dog) is the source of this 552-nucleotide long non-coding RNA. RefSeq lists it as uncharacterized. The record is from RefSeq and is a predicted model, not a curated record. Lineage: Eukaryota; Metazoa; Chordata; Mammalia; Carnivora; Canidae. The transcript has 3 exons.